UGGGGAAUUUUGCACAAUGGGCGCAAGCCUGAUGCAGCCAUGCCGCGUGUAUGAAGAAGGCCUUCGGGUUGUAAAGUACUUUCAGUCGGGAGGAAGGUGUCAAGGUUAAUAACCUUGGCAAUUGACGUUACCGACAGAAGAAGCACCGGCUAAUCCCGUGCCAGCAGCCGCGGUAAUCCGGAGGGUGCAAGCGUUAAUCGGAAUUACUGGGCGUAAAGCGCACGCAGGCGGUUGAUUGAGUCAGAUGUGAAAUCCCCGGGCUUAACCCGGGAAUUGCAUCUGAUACUGGUCAGCUAGAGUCUUGUAGAGGGGGGUAGAAUUCCAUGUGUAGCGGUGAAAUGCGUAGAGAUGUGGAGGAAUACCGGUGGCGAAGGCGGCCCCCUGGACAAAGACUGACGCUCAGGUGCGAAAGCGUGGGGAGCAAACAGG
This 429-nucleotide ribosomal RNA is filed under the name Chloroflexota bacterium. Its description in RNAcentral is "Chloroflexi bacterium partial 16S ribosomal RNA". It matches the Rfam family "Bacterial small subunit ribosomal RNA", at positions 355 to 776 of the family's 1533-position model. The record is from RNAcentral. Lineage: Bacteria; Bacillati; Chloroflexota.